This 253-nucleotide ribosomal RNA is filed under the name uncultured bacterium. RNAcentral's name for it is "partial 16S ribosomal RNA". It matches the Rfam family "Bacterial small subunit ribosomal RNA", at positions 524 to 776 of the family's 1533-position model. The record is from RNAcentral.
UACAUAGGGUGCAAGCGUUAAUCGGAAUUACUGGGCGUAAAGCGUGCGUAGACGGUUAUGUAAGUCGGGUGUGAAAGCCCCGGGCUCAACCUGGGAAUUGCAUUCGAGACUGUGUAGCUAGGGUACGGAAGAGGGAAGCGGAAUUUCAGGUGUAGCGGUGAAAUGCGUAGAUAUCUGAAGGAACACCAGUGGCGAAAGCGGCUUCCUGGUCCAGUACCGACGUUCAGGCACGAAAGCGUGGGGAGCAAACAGG